AGUGUCUGUCGGGUGCACGGGGACAAACCUGAUCCACAGAGGUCAUGGAAGUGACUAAGUAUGAGCCAUGAAGGCUGAUCAGGACGACAGGACGACAGACGAGUAGCGUGCAGACGCUCACUAGGAGCAUAGCAAGAGAGAAGACAUUAGAUAGGAAAGACGGUAGCAGCAUCGUUACGUAUUGUUUUUCAGGAAAGUGAAUAAAAGUGGGGAUGGCUUACACAGGGGGAAAGACAACCUCGACUGUUCCCGCUGCUUCCUCAUCACCUCUGUAAGAGUAGAAGUAUGUGUGUGUUUUAUGGAGAGAUCACGAACGAAACAGGGAACAGUUCGUCGUAUCCUUUCCAUCUCCCACCGCCUCAAACACCAGCCGGGGAUUUUAUCGCACGGGCUUGGCUCGGCCGGCGGGAUUCCUGAAAUAGAUAUCUGGGAGCACCGACUGGGCAGAUAUAUGAAAACGCUGGCGAUGGGCGUGAGAUGCUGAGACGUGGCUGUAAAUCUGGAAAAGGAGUCGUCUUUAAACGGACUCUCGUCCUUCUGGGUUGUGUCUCUCCUUCAUGUUUUCCUGUGACGGCUGUAAAUCUAUUAUUGGGGCGUAUUCAUAGCUCUGGAGAAUGUAAGUCCCGCGCAUCGACAACAAGCUGACGGGCUCAGCUCGCCGCACAAUAAAGCCCCCGUGUUUUCAUCGGGCCCCGCGGUGCGACACUAAGUGGUGUCACUCACCAACACUCUGUCCGUUUAACAAUGUCACAGUAUCAGCUACAGCAUCACACUGGAGUUAUUUAAUACGGCCACUGUGGUGACGCUGUGUCACCUCUUUGUGCGCUUUGCAUUGUGAUAGCUCGUCUCUUCCGCCUCCUCCUCCUCCUCCUCGUUCCUGUCCUGACAGCAUCGCACCUCGCAGGCUGCUGCAGCUGUCACCUGCCUGAUGGCUCUUUAAAAUCACUCACUGAUUGAAGAGAAACACCUGGAACCGACGACAGCAAAGGUACCAAAAAUAACUCUCCGCACCAGCAGGUGGCAGUAGUCUGCAUUCAUCGUUAAAACCAGGAAACAGGAAGAGCUGCUAUCAGCUGAUACAUAUCCGGCUAAUGUAUUACUGGAGUGAGGGAG
Mugil cephalus (flathead mullet) is the source of this 1113-nucleotide long non-coding RNA. RefSeq lists it as uncharacterized. Lineage: Eukaryota; Metazoa; Chordata; Actinopteri; Mugiliformes; Mugilidae. The record is from RefSeq and is a predicted model, not a curated record. The transcript is spliced from 3 exons.